GUUUUACCUUGACGAAUUGUAGUUUAAAGAAGUGUUUUCUGUUGAAGUUUUGGUAAGAGUUCUUUGGAAUAGGACAUCAUAGAGGGUGAGAAUCCCGUAUUUGACCAUUAUUUUCAGCUGUGUGAUACACUUUCAAAGAGUCGGAUUGUUUGGGAAUGCAGUCCAAAAUGGGUGGUAAAUUUCAUCUAAAGCUAAAUAUUGGCGAGAGACCGAUAGCGAACAAGUACCGUGAGGGAAAGAUGAAAAGAACUUUGAAAAGAGAGUUAAACAGUACGUGAAAUUGUCAAAAGGGAAGCGUUUGACACCAGUGUUGUUUUCUCGAAAAUCAAUUAAAAAAAGUUGGAUUUUGUGUUGUAUUGACCUUAACAGCUUUCUGCACUCUUUUCCUGCUUUUUUU
This 397-nucleotide ribosomal RNA is filed under the name uncultured Neocallimastigomycetes. Its description in RNAcentral is "eukaryotic LSU rRNA". It matches the Rfam family "Eukaryotic large subunit ribosomal RNA", at positions 127 to 521 of the family's 3401-position model. Lineage: Eukaryota; Fungi; Neocallimastigomycota; Neocallimastigomycetes. The record is from RNAcentral.